CGCCUGUUUAACAAAAACAUUUCUUUUUGGUUAUUUGAAAGGUAUACCCUGCCCUAUGAGGUUUUAAAUGGCUGCAGUAUAUUGACUGUGCAAAGGUAGCAUAAUAAUUAGUUUCUUAAUUGGGAUCUGGUAUGAAUGGGUGAAUGAGAAAUAUAUUUUAUUAAUUAAGUUUUAAAAUUUAAAUUUUAAGUGAAAAUGCUUAAUUUUCUUUAGGGACGAUAAGACCCUAUAGAACUUUAUAUUAAUGUUAUUAUUAAACUUUUGUAAUUACAGUUUAUAUUAGUUUAAAUUAUUUUGCUGGGGUGGUUAAUAAAUUGUCAACUUUAUUUUUUAAAAUCAUUCAUUUAUGAAAAUUUUGAUCUUUAAUAGAAAUUGUAAGGUAAAGUUACCUUAGGGAUAACAGCGUAAUUUAUAUGGGGAGUUCAUAUCUAUAUAUAAGUUUGCGACCUCGAUGUUGAAUUAAGGUAAUUUAAAGACGAAGAAUUCUUUAUGUUAAGUCUGUUCGACUUUUAAACCCUUACUUGAUCUGAGUUCAGACCGG
Molecule: ribosomal RNA, 541 nt
Filed under: Stirellus bicolor
Lineage: Eukaryota; Metazoa; Arthropoda; Insecta; Hemiptera; Cicadellidae
Description: partial 16S ribosomal RNA
Rfam family: Bacterial large subunit ribosomal RNA
Source: RNAcentral